AUCAUAUAACUUCAAGUAGCAAUGAAAAUAAUUUUGGAGAUGAUUCAUCGAUACGUUUAAAAAUUAGUAAAUCCCGCGAAAGAAAGAGCCAAUCAGGAAGCUCGACAGUUUUACUUUCAACGUACUUCUUGCAUCAUUCGGUUAGUUUGAAUGAAGAGGAUGAUAAUGGUGGUAUUUGUGUUUUUCUUGUUAAAAUUUAGUGACAGUCAAGAAUUACGGACUUAAAUAAAAUAAAUAAAACGAAUGUGCUUUCGUACAAUCUCGUCACACCGUGUUUGUGACCUUUGGAUCGAGUAUACGUUAUGCUCCUUAAUUUUCACGAACGAUACUGAGACAAGUAUUCCAAUAGGUAAUUCGACGUCGAAUAAAAUCCUUAAAUGAUCGCCGUGUCGACCGACAAGAAGGAGGAGGAGGCCUUCGAAUCUUCGUGCUGGCUGGAGAGGCGAUCGUACAUGUUCUUAGAGCGUAAGGAGCGAUUGUUGUCGGCAAUGGGCCGUUGUCGCAAUGGGAAGUCUCCUCUUGCAACCGGCACUAAAUCGUUUCGCUUCGGCACGUCGCAAGAGUCAGAAGCGGUCCCAGUCGAGCGUUUCGCCGGAACCUAUCUCAUUUCUCGAUCGUACGAUCGCACCAAAAGACGGAUAUCUUUAAUUUCUAAUAACGAAUCUUCGAGGGAAUCCAAGAGAUAUAAAUAUCGGAUAAGAAUGAAACAACGACGAGAAAAAAAAAAGAAAGAAAAAUAAGGAACUCGGUCGUGCCGCUUGAUGAGAAUCAUUUGAAAUUCCCGCUCUACGUCUCGAUUGGUCCCCAGGGACCAGAAGCUGUGUAUCGACCUUCGGCCCUUUUCGAUUGUGACGUAGCGACGACAGCGCCGGUCGGUAAAGCUGCACCAUAACGAUAACUCGCAACCGACUUUCAUCGAUGUUUUUCGGUCGAUACGGCCGGUCUCUUGAUCGGAGACUCCAGGAUUGGCCACCGUCGUGGCGUCGGUAGCGCCAACGACGAGAUCCGACGCAGCGCGCGCGCUCGGUACCUUGCCCGUCGACCGGCCUUGCAAGGCUGCAGGCCAUCGAACUCUUGCCCUACUGCCGCGCCACGUAAUACCACCCGUACGCGAUGCGCAAGAACGAGGAUAACCGACACGACUCGCGCGCCCCUUCCUCGUUGUUCGCUCGCUCAUUCUCGCUCGUUCGUUCGUUCGUUCGUUCGUUCGCUCGCUCGCUCGCUAGCUAGCUAGCUCGCAUAAAGGGGGGAAAAAAAGGAGGGAGCGGCUCGAACACGAUACAGGAACGAAAGCCCAGGGCCGUACGCGUUGUCUUCUACCUUCCUCUUCUCUCGAUUUUAGGAUCGAUCUCCUCCACCCUUUCUUCCUCUGUGAUAUUUCCCAAGAAUUAAUUUUUUUUUUUUCUACUAUUUAUAUAUAAAUAUUAUUAAAAGGAAGGGUAUACGUGACGUAUAUACGCGAGCGAAUAGAUAUUUAAAAUUGACCGUCGAAAUGUCUUGUCUAAGACAAUUUCCUGACACAUCACAUUGAUAUCAAAUGUAUUCGCUAUUUCGGCAACUAUUUUGAAAGUUAUUUAGGUUGCCCGAUCUUAUCCUGUAUAUUAUUCAUCGUUGACAAAUUUUUAAACCGUCGUUUUACGAUUUAUAUUUAUCGCAAGUUGAUUACGAACAUGAAUCGAUUGAAAUUGCAUGGAUUCAUUCGUGGGAAUAGAGAGGGUCGAUGUGAUAAAGCAAUUUCUGUAAAAGGCAAGAAGGGAAAAAGUAUUACGGAUCUGCCUAAAAAUAAAUAGCAAGCUUGCACGAUGUACGGGGAAUCCUCUCUUUCUCUCUCGCGGAACGCAAUUCGUUUAUUGAUUUUGGUUCUGACGUCCGAGGCGUUAUUAAAUUCUUCCUCACUCGAAACGAGAACGGGGACUCUAGCUAGGGGUAAAUAUAUUUUUGAAAAAAUUUUGAAGGGAAAUAUAACUUGGGAUUGAUAUUUUUUUCAAUCGCCGUGGUAUUUAUUAAUUGGACACAGUGGCUACGGCGACGAUGAUCACUUGAAAUUAGUAAUAGUAAUGGAUUCAAGAGGAGUGCAUCAUCGGGGGUUCCUUUCUGUUGGUCGGUAGUAAGAGAGGCCAAACUGUGCCACGGUCGCGCGCGCUUCCAUCGGAACAGGGCUUCUCACCGUCGCGGACGCACUUUUACCCUAUAACGCUUGGUAAGCUCGUUAGCGAGGCGAAUCAUGUGCCGCGGGAUAUGAGCUCAAGCAGAAACCGUAAUUCGCACGAUCGAGAUGUGUUCGUGAAAGAAAUGCCAAGCGCCAUAGAUCCGUCGCGAUCCGUCGAUGCGAAACGUGUUUUCCUUUUGCAAACGAGCACUUUUCUUUUUUUUUCUUUUUUUUUUUUCGUGCAUAUCGAUCAAACCAAAUAAGUAGUGCAAUGAUAUUAUAUAAAAAUAAUUUGAUGUCCCAUUUUUUAUUUUGUGCUGCGUGCAUCGCUCUCUUUUUCCUCUUUUCAUACCUCUAACCAUCGUCAUCGAAUAGGCUCGAUGAUAACGUCAAAGCUCGGUUUUGUUCGCCCAUUCGAGAUAGACGAAAGAUAGCCGCGUCAAAAGCUUCACAAGCGUAUCUAGCUCGUGUUAAAGCCCGGCCGGAAAAAUGUAACGGUAAUUAGUUUUGUUACCAUCCGGAUGCAUAAUUACGGAUUUUGUUAAUAACGGCCAGUUAAUUGGCGAUCUAAUUGCUAAUAAGCCGGAUACUAUAUAACGGGUAAUCGCAAAUAAUUAGUAACGAAGCUAACGAGUGAACUAUCGACUAACUACUUGCCAACUACUAAACAGAAGUAUCGGUAAUGAGCGUUGAUUAUGCCAGUACGAUUACCGUACUGUAUCGUAAUCGUACUUACUCCAUUCUGUAUUGAUACUAUAUGAGUUUCCUAUCACGAUUUCUAUUAACGGCAAUUAAUCCUUAUUAUAAUUAAUAAUUUGACUUUGUUAACCGAUAGAAAUUGCAAAUAGCGAGAAGAGACGUACUCUUUACUGUCGGUCGUGUUACAGCCAAAAAAAAUCACACAACGCAUAAGAAGAAUUUCCAAAAAAAUAUUUUUUAUCAGGGGGAAACGUAAAACUACUGUAGUUUUGUUAUCCCCCGAAACAAACGACCGUAUUAUUCCUUAUUCCUUACGCGGUUCCCACAAUACGAAAUCAAUAUUAAAGGAGUUCCACUGUAAUCGACGCCACAUCCGUCUAUUUUACGAGCCAUUACCUUUCUAGAAAUUCCAUUAGUACCAAAACGAUUCAGCCUUUGGUCGAUCAUCGAAGCCGAGAGAUGCACACGAUCGGAAUUUAAUCUUCGAGUCAUUCGUUGUGAAAGGAGUAAUGAGAAAGAGAGAGAGAGAGAGAGAGAAGGUGGGAGGGGGGAAGAGAGAAGGAAGAGAGACAAAGUAGUAGCGGCUGACCGGCUAACCUCUAGACCCUAGAGUAUGUCGAGAGGGUGCGAACGAAGAGCACCGCUCUCGGUCACGCGAGAAUCAUCAGCCGCCGCGAUUCCUAGAACUCGAUGCUUUUCCGUUACACGUAACGCGUCUCCU
This is a long non-coding RNA of Vespa mandarinia (Asian giant hornet), 3569 nucleotides long. Lineage: Eukaryota; Metazoa; Arthropoda; Insecta; Hymenoptera; Vespidae. The record is from RefSeq and is a predicted model, not a curated record.